RNAcentral lists this ribosomal RNA (707 nucleotides) under Micarea denigrata. RNAcentral describes it as "SSU rRNA". It matches the Rfam family "Bacterial small subunit ribosomal RNA", at positions 417 to 1239 of the family's 1533-position model. Lineage: Eukaryota; Fungi; Ascomycota; Lecanoromycetes; Lecanorales; Micareaceae. The record is from RNAcentral.
UGUGCCAAGUACAAUACCGACUUGGUCGGAUAAAGUUCUGGGUAGAAUUAUGAUAAUGACAUUUUCUAUUUAUGUGUCUUGACUAAAUUACGUGCCAGCAGUCGCGGUAAUACGUAGAAGACUAGUGUUAUUCAUCUUUAUUAGGUUUAAAGGGUACCUAGACGGUAGAUAAAGCCUUUUGGGACUAAUUUACUAGAGUUACUUACGAGGGAGUAUUAAAGUACUAAUGGUGUAGAGAUAAAAUUCUGUAAUACCUUUUUUCGUGAGAAAGCAACGGCACAGGUAUAGGCGAAGGCAUCUCCUUAUGUGAUAGCUUUGUAUAGCUAACAGGAUUAGAUACCCUAGUAGUCAAAGCAGAAAAUGAUGAGUGUCAUAGAUUAGCUUAUUCUAUAAAUGAAAGUGUAAGCACUCCACCUCAAGAGUAAUUUGGCAACAUUGGAACUGAAAUCAUUAGACCGUUUCUGAAACCAGUAGUGAAGUAUGUUAUUUAAUUUGAUAUUCCGCAAAAAACCUUACCAUGAAUAUUUACAAGUGUUGCACGGCUGUCUUCAGUUAAUGUCGCGAGAUUAUGGUUAGCUCCAUUAAAUUAACGUAAACCCUUACUUUAUUUUUAAAUAAAGUAUGUUCUCCGCUAUAUUGGAUAAGAUAAGAGGGACUAAGACAAGUCAUCAUGGCCUAAAUGUUGUGAGCCUUUACAAAAGGAUGUG